GAUGAACGCUGGCGGCGUGCUUAACACAUGCAAGUCGAACGGAAAGGCCCAAGCUUGCUUGGGUACUCGAGUGGCGAACGGGUGAGUAACACGUGGGUGAUCUGCCCUGCACUUCGGGAUAAGCCUGGGAAACUGGGUCUACUACCGGAUAGGACCACUUCGUAGUUGUUGUGGUGGAAAGUUUUUUCGGUGUGGGAUGAGCGUGCGACCUAUCAGCUUGUUGGUGGUGUCAUGGCCUACCAAGGCGUCGACGGGUAGCCGGCCUGAGAGAGUGUACGGCCACAUUGGGACGGAGAGACGGCGCAGAGUCCUACGGAAGGCAGCAGUGAGGAAGAUUGAGCAAUGGGCGGUAGGCUGAGGCAGCGACGCGGCGGGAAGGAUGACGUCUUGCGAGAGAUAAACUCCUGUCGACAAAGACGAAGUUAUGACGGUAUUUGGAGAAGAAGCACCGGCUAACUACGUG
Molecule: ribosomal RNA, 463 nt
Filed under: uncultured bacterium
Lineage: Bacteria
Description: partial 16S ribosomal RNA
Rfam family: Bacterial small subunit ribosomal RNA
Source: RNAcentral